GAAAUGCGAUAAGUAAUGUGAAUUGCAGAAUUCAGUGAAUCAUCGAAUCUUUGAACGCACAUUGCGCCCGCCAGUAUUCUGGCGGGCAUGCCUGUCCGAGCGUCAUUUCAACCAUCAAGCCCCCGGGCUUGUGUUGGGGACCUGCGGCUGCCCGCAGGCCCUGAAAACCAGUGGCGGGCUCGCUCUCACACCGAGCGUAGUAGCAAUCACCUCGCUCAGGGCGUGCUGCGGGUUCCGGCCGUUAAACAGCCUUACAAAACCCAAGGUUGACCUCGGAUCAGGUAGGAAGACCCGCUGAACUUAAGC
This 306-nucleotide unclassified non-coding RNA is filed under the name plant metagenome. RNAcentral describes it as "partial contains 5.8S ribosomal RNA, internal transcribed spacer 2, and large subunit ribosomal RNA". The stretch from base 1 to 105 matches the Rfam family "5.8S ribosomal RNA", at positions 50 to 154 of the family's 154-position model. The record is from RNAcentral.